Molecule: ribosomal RNA, 98 nt
Filed under: Saimiri boliviensis boliviensis (Bolivian squirrel monkey)
Lineage: Eukaryota; Metazoa; Chordata; Mammalia; Primates; Cebidae
Source: RNAcentral
AUCUGCGGCCAUACCACCCUGAACAUGCCUGAUCUCGUCUGAUCUCGGAAGCUAAGCAGGGUCGCGCCUGGUUAGAACGUGGAUAAGAGAAACAGAUU